Paramuricea clavata is the source of this 427-nucleotide non-coding RNA. The record is from the annotation of a GenBank genome assembly. Lineage: Eukaryota; Metazoa; Cnidaria; Anthozoa; Malacalcyonacea; Plexauridae.
AGGGUGCAUAUAUUAAAUAUUGCCUUAUUAAGAAAUUAAAAUAUCUUUGUAAAGCGCACGAUUUUCUGCUCUUGGGAAUUUAAAACAGCUUCUUAAACGGUUUCUUUAUGCAUAAAAUUUACUUACGUCAAGCUUUGAUGCACGUGUGGGUUCAACAGAGUGCUGAGGCAUUCAAAUUCUGACAAUACGUUAUUUCAAUAGUUUUCGGUUUUUUUGGGACGCCCUGUACAGCGUUUGCACAUGACGUUACAGCCCCCAUGUUGGUGUUCCAAUUCAAAAGAAUUUAAAUUAGACUCUUUUGUCUGGAACACCAACAUGGCAGCCAUGGCUUUUGUUCAGUUGGUCCCUGGGGAAUGAGUACAAACGCUCUACAGGGUGUAUCAAAAAUAUGUACACCCUUUCAGAUUCAAAUUAGCCAUAACAUUUU